RNAcentral lists this ribosomal RNA (467 nucleotides) under uncultured bacterium. RNAcentral's name for it is "partial 16S ribosomal RNA". It matches the Rfam family "Bacterial small subunit ribosomal RNA", at positions 28 to 507 of the family's 1533-position model. The record is from RNAcentral.
GAUGAACGCUGGCGGCGUGCUUAACACAUGCAAGUCGAACGGAAAGGCCCAAGCUUGCUUGGGUACUCGAGUGGCGAACGGGUGAGUAACACGUGGGUGAUCUGCCCUGCACUUCGGGAUAAGCCUGGGAAACUGGGUCUAAUACCGGAUAGGACCACAUUUUGGAUGGUGUGGUGGAAAGGUUUUCGGUGUGGGAUGAGCUCGCGGCCUAUCAGCUUGUUGGUGGGGUAAUGGCCUACCAAGGCGUCGACGGGUAGCCGGCCUGAGAGGGUGUACGGCCACAUUGGGACUGAGAUACGGCCCAGACUCCUACGGGAGGCAGCAGUGGGGAAUAUUGCACAAUGGGCGCAAGCCUGAUGCAGCGACGCCGCGUGGGGGAUGACGGCCUUCGGGUUGUAAAUUCCUUUCGCUAGGGACGAAGCGUUUUUGUGACGGUACCUGGAGAAGAAGCACCGGCUAACUACGUG